RNAcentral lists this long non-coding RNA (489 nucleotides) under Mytilus galloprovincialis (Mediterranean mussel). The record is from RNAcentral. Lineage: Eukaryota; Metazoa; Mollusca; Bivalvia; Mytilida; Mytilidae.
UUGCCCCAUAACCUACAAAUAUAUCCCAACCUUCUACUAAUUGUAUUAAACAUUGUGGUACAAUUUCAGAACAAUUGAAAACUUAUACACAACUUUUUGUACGACACCAAAGAUAAAUGCUUGUUUUGGGCCCCUUUGGACCCCUAAUUCCUAAACCUUAGGGACUAUAAGCCCCAAAAUCAAUCCCAAGCCUCCUUUAGUGGUAAUAAACAUUGUGUUAAAAUUUUAUUGAUUUCUAUUUACUUAUACUAAAGUUAUUAUCUGGAAACCAUCCGUCAAAAAUUUUAGCGGCCGUAUAAAAAAACAUUGAGAAGACUAAUUACAUAUUAUAAUUCCUACUGAGGCUUAACUAUUUGUCAAAUUAAGGCAAGAAUGUGUUUGAUUAUUUUCUAAGGCAAUAAUAUUAAAGUUCAAGUGUAAAUCAAUAAAUAAAUAAUUCAAUAAAAAAUAAAUAAAUUUAUAUUUGCUUUAAAUAAAUUAUAUCACAAC